RNAcentral lists this unclassified non-coding RNA (612 nucleotides) under Scedosporium boydii. RNAcentral describes it as "sequence contains 18S rRNA gene, ITS1, 5.8S rRNA gene, ITS2, 28S rRNA gene". The stretch from base 211 to 364 matches the Rfam family "5.8S ribosomal RNA". The record is from RNAcentral. Lineage: Eukaryota; Fungi; Ascomycota; Sordariomycetes; Microascales; Microascaceae.
GUAACAAGGUCUCCGUUGGUGAACCAGCGGAGGGAUCAUUACAGAGUUACUACUCCAAACCCAUUGUGAACCUUACCUAUGUUCUGUUGCCUCGGCGGCGUGGUCAGCGCCCCCUCUGAAAAGAGGACGAUGCCCUCCCGCCGGCAGCACCAAACUCUUUGAAUUUUACAGCGGAUUACAGUUCUGAUUUGAAAACAAAAAACAAGUUAAAACUUUCAACAACGGAUCUCUUGGUUCUGGCAUCGAUGAAGAACGCAGCGAAAUGCGAUAAGUAAUGUGAAUUGCAGAAUUCAGUGAAUCAUCGAAUCUUUGAACGCACAUUGCGCCCGGCAGUAAUCUGCCGGGCAUGCCUGUCCGAGCGUCAUUUCAACCCUCGAACCUCCGUUUCCUCAGGGAAGCUCAGGGUCGGUGUUGGGGCGCUACGGCGAGUCUUCGCGACCCUCCGUAGGCCCUGAAAUACAGUGGCGGUCCCGCCGCGGUUGCCUUCUGCGUAGUAAGUCUCUUUUGCAAGCUCGCAUUGGGUCCCGGCGGAGGCCUGCCGUCAAACCACCUAUAACUCCAGAUGGUUUGACCUCGGAUCAGGUAGGGUUACCCGCUGAACUUAAGCAUAUC